RNAcentral lists this ribosomal RNA (496 nucleotides) under uncultured bacterium. Its description in RNAcentral is "partial 16S ribosomal RNA". It matches the Rfam family "Bacterial small subunit ribosomal RNA", at positions 28 to 507 of the family's 1533-position model. The record is from RNAcentral.
GAUGAACGCUGGCGGCAGGCCUAACACAUGCAAGUCGAGCGGCAGCAUGGGGGUUGCUUGCACUUCCCGAUGGCGACCGGCGCACGGGUGAGUAAUGCGUAACCAACCUGCCUUUCACCACGGGAUAACUCGGCGAAAGUCCGACUAAUACCGAACGUUGCCCAUUGACGGCAGCCGAGCUGGACGAAACGUUUGGGGGUGAAAGGGCGGGUGGGGGUCGGAUUAGCUUGGGGGCGGGGGGACGGCCCACCGAGGCGACGAUCGGUAGGGGGUGUGAGAGGAUGGGAAGCCACCCCAGAACUGAGACACGGCCCAGACCAGUACGGGAGGCAGCAGUGGGGUAUAUUGUACAGUGGGCGGAAGCUUGGCCCAGCCAUGCCGAGUGGGUUACAGAGGCACUCGGGUAGUGAAGGUCUUCUGCUUGGGAGGAAGGGUAGAGUGGUCAUACUGUGGGUUAUUGACGGUACCGCAUGAAUAAGCACCGGCUAACUCCGUG